CGAGUCUGCCUUGAAGAUCGGAGUGCUUGCACUCUGUGAAACAAGAUACAGGCUAGCGGCGGACGGGUGAGUAACACGUGGGUAACCUGCCCAAGAGAUCGGGAUAACACCUGGAAACAGAUGCUAAUACCGGAUAACAACAGAUGAUGCCUAUCAACUGUUUAAAAGAUGGUUCUGCUAUCACUCUUGGAUGGACCUGCGGUGCAUUAGCUAGUUGGUAGGGUAACGGCCUACCAAGGCGAUGAUGCAUAGCCGAGUUGAGAGACUGAUCGGCCACAUUGGGGACUGAGACGCGGCCCAAACUCCUACGGGAGGCAGCAGUAGGGAAUCCUCCACAAUGGACGCAAGUCUGAUGGAGCAACGCCGCGUGAGUGAAGAAGGGUUUCGGCUCGUAAAGCUCUGUUGUUGGUGAA
This 413-nucleotide ribosomal RNA is filed under the name uncultured Lactobacillus sp. RNAcentral's name for it is "bacterial SSU rRNA". It matches the Rfam family "Bacterial small subunit ribosomal RNA", at positions 58 to 446 of the family's 1533-position model. Lineage: Bacteria; Bacillati; Bacillota; Bacilli; Lactobacillales; Lactobacillaceae. The record is from RNAcentral.